GAUGAACGCUGGCGGCGUGCUUAACACAUGCAAGUCGAACGGAAAGGCCACAGCUUGCUGUGGUACUCGAGUGGCGAACGGGUGAGUAACACGUGGGUGACCUGCCCUGUACUUUGGGAUAAGUUCGGGAAACUGGGUCUAAUACCGGAUAGGAACCCCAUGUGGGUGUGUGGUUGGGAAGCUUUUGCGGUAUGGGAUGAGCUCGCGGCGUAUCAGCUUGUUGGUGGGGUAGUGGCCUACCAAGGCGUCGACGGGUAGCCGGCCUGAGAGGGUGUACGGCCACAUUGGGACUGAGAUACGGCCCAGACUCCUACGGGAGGCAGCAGUGGGGAAUAUUGCACAAUGGGCGCAAGCCUGAUGCAGCGACGCCGCGUGGGGGAUGACGGCCUUCGGGUUGUAAACUCCUUUCGUCAGUGACGAAGCGAGAGUGACGGUACCGGGAAAAGAAGCACCGGCUAACUACGUG
Molecule: ribosomal RNA, 466 nt
Filed under: uncultured bacterium
Lineage: Bacteria
Description: partial 16S ribosomal RNA
Rfam family: Bacterial small subunit ribosomal RNA
Source: RNAcentral